UACGUAGGGUGCAAGCGUUGUCCGGAAUUAUUGGGCGUAAAGAGCUUGUAGGCGGUUUGUCGCGUCUGCCGUGAAAGCCCAGGGCUUAACCCUGGGUCUGCGGUGGGUACGGGCAGACUAGAGUGUGGUAGGGGAGACUGGAAUUCCUGGUGUAGCGGUGAAAUGCGCAGAUAUCAGGAGGAACACCAACAGCGAAGGCAGAUCUCUGGGACGUUACUGACGCUGAGACGCGAAAGCGUGGGGAGCAAACAGG
This 253-nucleotide ribosomal RNA is filed under the name uncultured bacterium. RNAcentral's name for it is "partial 16S ribosomal RNA". It matches the Rfam family "Bacterial small subunit ribosomal RNA", at positions 524 to 776 of the family's 1533-position model. The record is from RNAcentral.